GGGAGGUGUAAUCACCAGAGAGAGAGAGAGAACGUGUUGGUGGGCGAAACUCUAGAGAUUUGCCACAGAAGUGUAGAACGCUGGUAGAGUUUUUAAUAACAUAAAAGGAGGUCAAGGGUUCAAUUCUGAGAUAGUAAGAACUGCCGAUGCUGGAUUCGGAGAUAACACAGUGCGGAGCUGGAUGAACACAGCAGGCCAGGCAGCAUCAGAGGAGCCGGAAAGCUAAGGGUUCAACUCUCUUGCAUCUAAAUACGCAAUUAAGGAUGUACCUGAGCAAAUUUGCCAUGGCGGGAUUCGAACCCAGGUUCCCAGAACAUUAG
Long non-coding RNA from Rhincodon typus (whale shark), 320 nucleotides. RefSeq lists it as uncharacterized. The transcript has 3 exons. The record is from RefSeq and is a predicted model, not a curated record. NCBI's taxonomy places the organism in Eukaryota, Metazoa, Chordata, Chondrichthyes, Orectolobiformes, Rhincodontidae.